GCCGGCUUAACCGACGGGCGUCUAAGAGAUACUGAGAGUCUAGGGACCGGGAGAGGUGAGAGGUACUCCGGGGGUAGGAGUGAAAUCCUGUAAUCCCCGGGGGACCACCGAUGGCGAAGGCAUCUCACCAGAACGGCUCCGACAGUGAGGGACGAAAGCUGGGGGAGCGAACCGGAUUAGAUACCCGGGUAGUCCCGGCUGUAAACGAUGCGCGUUAGGUGUAUCGGUGACCACGAGUCACCGAGGUGCCGAAGGGAAACCGUGAAACGUGCCGCCUGGGAAGUACGGUCGCAAGGCUGAAACUUAAAGGAAUUGGCGGGGGAGCACCACAACAGGUGGAGCCUGCGGUUUAAUCGGACUCAACGCCGGAAAGCUCACCGGAUAAGACAGCGGAAUGAUAGCCGGGCUGAAGACUCUGCUUGACUAGCUGAGAGGA
Molecule: ribosomal RNA, 436 nt
Filed under: uncultured archaeon
Lineage: Archaea
Description: bacterial SSU rRNA
Rfam family: Archaeal small subunit ribosomal RNA
Source: RNAcentral